UACGUAGGGUGCGAGCGUUGUCCGGAUUUAUUGGGCGUAAAGAGCGUGUAGGCGGCUAGGUAGGUCCGUUGUGAAAACUCGAGGCUCAACCUCGAGACGUCGAUGGAAACCAUCUAGCUAGAGUCCGGAAGAGGAGAGUGGAAUUCCCGGUGUAGCGGUGAAAUGCGCAGAUAUCAGGAGGAACACCAAUGGCGAAGGCAGCACUCUGGGACGUGACUGACGCUGAGACGCGAAAGCGUGGGGAGCAAACAGG
This 253-nucleotide ribosomal RNA is filed under the name uncultured bacterium. RNAcentral describes it as "partial 16S ribosomal RNA". It matches the Rfam family "Bacterial small subunit ribosomal RNA", at positions 524 to 776 of the family's 1533-position model. The record is from RNAcentral.